GGUUUGUCAGGCAGUCUUCUUGGCUAUGCUGACAGACUCUUUUCAUUCAUGUUAAGCUUUCUUUUCCUCGAAAUCACGAUUUAUAAAAAGCACAUAUAUAUACGGGAGGAAGGAGGGUCUUACAUGAAGAAAAGAGUGUAUUGUUUGCUAGCCAAGGAUGACUUGCCUGCAGCU
Molecule: microRNA precursor, 174 nt
Filed under: Linum usitatissimum (flax)
Lineage: Eukaryota; Viridiplantae; Streptophyta; Magnoliopsida; Malpighiales; Linaceae
Source: RNAcentral